GUUUGCACUUGUCGGGGAAGGGUGAGAACCUUCGAUUAAGGUUCGACUCGAGCGAAAGCGAGAGAACUUUGCCAACGGCAACGGCCCGUAGGGUGAGGAGCGAAGCGACGAAUAAUCCUUCCCCCACCACCA
This 132-nucleotide small RNA is filed under the name Salmonella enterica. Its description in RNAcentral is "RtT sRNA". It matches the Rfam family "RtT RNA". From Rfam's summary of the family: This family represents a bacterial cis-regulatory element known as RtT RNA. Lineage: Bacteria; Pseudomonadati; Pseudomonadota; Gammaproteobacteria; Enterobacterales; Enterobacteriaceae. The record is from RNAcentral.